AUUUUUUUUUAUUUUUUUUAUAUAAAAUCCAGUUUUAUUUCUCCAAGGGGCUCCCUGGAGACUACGCAAACUUUAUACUGGUAGGAAGGAAG
This 92-nucleotide non-coding RNA is filed under the name Rhodella violacea. Lineage: Eukaryota; Rhodophyta; Rhodellophyceae; Rhodellales; Rhodellaceae. The record is from RNAcentral.